Molecule: ribosomal RNA, 216 nt
Filed under: Glomeromycotina sp.
Lineage: Eukaryota; Fungi; Glomeromycota
Description: partial small subunit ribosomal RNA
Rfam family: Eukaryotic small subunit ribosomal RNA (bases 40-216)
Source: RNAcentral
GGGUCAGUAGGUUGGUCGUGCCACCGGUACGUACUGGUCUCACUGAUUCCUCCUUCCUGAAGAACCGUAAUGCCAUUAAUUUGGUGUUGCGGGGAAACAGGACUGUUACUUUGAAAAAAUUAGAGCGUUUAAAGCAAGCUAACGCUUGAAUACAUUAGCAUGGAAUAAUGAAAUAGGACGAUCGAUCCUAUUUUGUUGGUUUCUAGGAUUGACGUA